AAUGAUUGUGCCUGAAAAAGGAAUAUUUUGAUAGAAUAAAUCAUAUAAAAUUUAAUUUUUAUCAUCAUUA
Molecule: transfer RNA, 70 nt
Filed under: Vespa mandarinia (Asian giant hornet)
Lineage: Eukaryota; Metazoa; Arthropoda; Insecta; Hymenoptera; Vespidae
Description: tRNA-Ile
Source: RNAcentral